This 546-nucleotide long non-coding RNA is filed under the name Rattus norvegicus (Norway rat). Its description in RNAcentral is "long non-coding RNA NONRATT020598". Lineage: Eukaryota; Metazoa; Chordata; Mammalia; Rodentia; Muridae. The record is from RNAcentral.
CAAUCAAGCCACCUUUAAUGAGAUUUGCCUUAUAAAUUAAAACGUAUCUGGCAAAGAACAAGAGUGAGGAUCCAUACUGGCCUCCCCAAAGUGUCCUCACUCUGACCAGUGGACCUCUCCCACAGGCCUAGUCAGUCCAGCAGCCUUGUUUCUUCUACUCCCACAACUUCCGGGGACUGGUCAUCACUUGACUCCUCUGGUCCCCCGGCCCCUCCCACCCUCAGGGAGUCUAAAGGCUCUGCAUAUAGGGCUGGAGGGCUGCCCAGGGGUUCCUGGGGAACAGGAGUGGGAGCCAUCUUCCCCUCUGUCUCCCCAUCAUGGGAGUCAGUUCUGGUGAUAUCUUGUCCCUGUCCCACCUUUCCUUGGGCUUUCUGCUGCUGGAUAGCAGCCUCAACUGCCUGAAAGAUGUCAUUUCCCUGGGCAGUCUGGAAGGUGAAGGUCCCAGGGCCAGAGGGGCAGCGGCGACCCGCUUCAAAGGAGAACAUUACCUGGUCUCGGCCAUAGCGUCGCAACAGAGUGUAGGGCCAGAAAAGGAGCGGCUCCAGG